CGAACGCUGACGGCGUGCUUAACACAUGCAAGUCGAACGAGAAACUCCGCCUUCGGGUGGAUUAGUAAAGUGGCGCACGGGUGCGUAACGCGUGGGUAAUCUACCUUCGAGUUAGGGAUAACACUGUGAAAACGGUGCUAAUACCUGAUAAGCUCACAGUUAUAAAAGACAGUGGGAAAAGGUGGCCUCUGAUAUAAGCUAUCGCUUGGAGAUGAGCCCGCGUACCAUUAGCUUGUUGGUAGGGUAACGGCCUACCAAGGCUACGAUGGUUAGCUGGCCUGAGAGGGUGGUCAGCCACACUGGAACUGAGACACGGUCCAGACUCCUACGGGAGGCAGCAGUGGGGAAUAUUGCGCAAUGGGGGAAACCCUGACGCAGCGACGCCGUGUGAGUGAUGAAGGCUUUCGGGUCGUAAAGCUCUGUCAAAUGGGAAGAAUAAGAGCAUGGAAAAUAUUCAUGUUCGAUGACGGUACCAUUAAAGGAAGCACCGGCUAACUCC
Molecule: ribosomal RNA, 499 nt
Filed under: uncultured bacterium
Lineage: Bacteria
Description: bacterial SSU rRNA
Rfam family: Bacterial small subunit ribosomal RNA
Source: RNAcentral